RNAcentral lists this long non-coding RNA (1032 nucleotides) under Salmo salar (Atlantic salmon). Its description in RNAcentral is "lncRNA (ENSSSAG00000110071.1)". The record is from RNAcentral. Lineage: Eukaryota; Metazoa; Chordata; Actinopteri; Salmoniformes; Salmonidae.
CACAUGAAGACGAUCAAUUAUGGAUCAAAUGAACACUAGUCUUUAAUUCAUUGCCUCGUCGCCUCCAUAUCCUCCCAUCCCAUAGGCCUAUUUCUGGUGUGGGAAGAGGAAAGACAGUGUUAGAGGGUCAUAACAAUGAGGACAAUGACCCAAAACACACCUCAAGGCUGUGUAAAGGCUAUUUGACGAAGAAGGAGAGUGAUGGGGCUGCAUCAGAUGACCUGGCCUCCACAAUCAGCCAACCUCAACACAAGUGAUAUGGUUUGGGAUGAGUUGGACCACAGAGUGAAGGAUAAAGCAGCCAACAAGUGCUCAGCAAAUGUGGGAAGUCCUUCAAGACUGUUGGAAAGCAUUCCUCAUGAAGCUGGUUGAGAUAAUGCCAAGAGUAUGAAAAGCUGUCAUCAAUGCAAAGAUUGGCUACUUUGAAGAAUCUCAAAUAUAAAAUAUAUUUUGAUUUGUUUAACACUUUUUUGGUUACUACACUGUUCCAUAUGUGUUAUUUCAUAGUGUUGAUGUCUUUACUAUUAUUCUACAAUGUAUAAAAUAUUAAAAAUAAAGACAAACCCUUGAAUCAGUAGGUGUGUCCAAACUUUUGACUGGUAUAUAUGUAUUUUUUUUAUACAUCUCCCAUUUGGUAAUGCGGUUUACAGCAGCAAUAACAAAUGUGUUGACUUGACACCUGUGUCUGAGUUUUGAAGGACCCUUACCCCCCUUUUGUUCCAUGCUGGCUGAAGACCUAGCUAGCCUCUCUGGGCUAGGCGGGACGAAUUCGUCCCACCUACGCAACAGCCAGUUGAAUCCCGUGGCGCGAUUUUCAAAUACCUUAGAAAUGCUAUUACUUCAAUUUCUCAAACAUAUGACUAUUUUACAGCAUUUUAAAGACAACACUCUCGUUAAUCUAACCACACUGUCCGAUUUCAAAAAGGCUUUACAACGAAAGCAAAACAUUAGAUUAUGUCAGCAGAGUACCCAGCCAGAAAUAAUCAGACACCCAUUUUUCAAGCUAGCAUAUAAUGUCACAUAAACCCAAAC